GAAAGUAAGAAAGGGCGUAUGGCGGAUGCCUAGGCUCACGGAGGCGAUGAAGGACGUGAUAAGCUGCGAUAAGCUUCGGGUAGGUGCAAAUGACCUUUGAUCCGGAGAUUUCCGAAUGGGACAACCUAGCCGUCUGAAGGACGGUUACUAGCACUUAAGUGUUAGAGCUAACGCAGGGAACUGAAACAUCUUAGUACCUGCAGGAAGAGAAAAUAAAUGAAUGAUUCCCCCAGUAGUGGCGAGCGAACGGGGAACAGCCCAAACCAGUGGCGUCGCAAGGCGUGGCUGGGGUUGUAGGACCGCGACAUUGUACUGAAAUGGUGAGUGGAAGUAUCUGGAAAGUUACAUCACAGAAGGUGAUAAUCCUGUACACGAAGCCAAAUCAGGCAUAGCGGUAUCCUGAGUAACGCGGGACACGAGGAAUCCUGCGCGAAUCUGCCGGGACCAUCCGGUAAGGCUAAAUACUCCCGUGAGACCGAUAGCGAACGAGUACUGUGAAGGAAAGGUGAAAAGAACCCCGAGCAGGGGAGUGAAAUAGUUCCUGAAACCAUACGCCUACAAGCGGUCGGAGCAUCGUAAGAUGUGACGGCGUGCCUUUUGCAUAAUGAUCCUACGAGUUACCGUCACUGGCGAGGUUGAGUGUCAUGAGACACGUAGCCGCAGUGAAAGCGAGCCUGAAGAGGGCGCACAGUCAGUGGGGGUAGACGCGAAACCAAGUGAUCUACACUUGGCCAGGAUGAAGUCCCGGUAACACGGGAUGGAGGUCCGCACCAAUAAGCGUUGAAAAGCUUCUGGAUGAGCCGAGUGUAGGAGUGAAAGGCCAAUCAAACUUGGAGAUAGCUCGUACUCCCCGAAAGGCAUUUAGGUGCCGCGUCGGAUGGUCACCGUGAGAGGUAGAGCGACCGAUAGGACAAGAGGGCUUCACCGCCUAUCGAGUCCUGACGAACUCCGAAUGCUCACGGUCUGCAGUCCGGCAGUAAGGGGGCGGGUGCUAAGGUCCGUCCCCGAGAGGAGAAGAAUCCAGACCGCCGUCUAAGGUCCCGGAGUUCUGCCUGAGUUAGUCUAACGAAGUCUGGUCCCUAUGACAGCUAGGAUGUUGGCUUGGAAGCAGCCAUUCAUUCAAAGAGUGCGUAACAGCUCACUAGUCGAGGGUCCGGGCAUGGAUAAUAAUCGGGUAUAAGGCAGACACCGAAGGCGCGGGAUAGCAAUUAUAAAAGUAUCGGUAGGGGAGCAUACUCACAGCGUCGAAUGGUGUACGUAAGUUAUCCUGGAGCGGUGAGUAAAGCAAAUGUAGGAAUAAGUAACGAUAAGGAGGGUUAGAUUCCCUCCCGCUGUAAGACCAAGGUUUCCCGGGCAAUGCCAAUCAGCCCGGGGUCAGUCGGGUCCUAAGUCUAAGCCGAACGGCGAUGGCGAUGGCAGAGACGGUUAAUAUUCCGUCACUGCCGCAUGGGGCGACGUGGAGACGGAGCAGUGAAACCACCGCGGGGCGACGGAAGUCCCCGUUGAAGAGUGUAGGUGUUGAGGAUGGCAGGCAAAUCCACCGUCCGAGCUGAACUUGAUAGUAUGGAGUCUUCUUCGGAAGAAUCCAAUAGUGUGGGUAAUCAUACUCCCGAGAAAAUCCGCUAAGCUUAACCCAUGCGGCACCCGUACCGCAAACGGACACACGUGGUCGGGUAGAACAUACUAAGGCGUUGAGAGAUUCAUGGUUAAGGAACUAGGCAAAUUGACCCUGUAACUUCGGGAUAAAGGGUCCUCGUGAUGAGCGAGGCGCAGAGAAUAGGUCCAGGCAACUGUUUAACAAAAACACAGGGCUGUGCAAACUCGAAAGAUGACGUAUACAGCCUGACACCUGCCCGGUGCCGGAAGGUUAAGAGGAGAUGUCACUCGCAAGAGGAAGCAUUGAAUUGAAGCCCCGGUAAACGGCGGCCGUAACUAUAACGGUCCUAAGGUAGCGAAAUUCCUUGUCGGGUAAGUUCCGACCUGCACGAAUGGUGUAAUGAUCCGGACGCUGUCUCGGCCAUGAGCCUGUCUCUUAUACACAUCUCCGAGCCCACGAGACGGACUCCUAUCUCGUAUGCCGUCUUCUGCUUGAAAAAAAAAAAAAUACAGAUACUAACCCUCCCCAAGCAUGCUGGACACAACGAUAUCUCGUA
This 2153-nucleotide ribosomal RNA is filed under the name metagenome. Its description in RNAcentral is "bacterial LSU rRNA". It matches the Rfam family "Bacterial large subunit ribosomal RNA". The record is from RNAcentral.